RNAcentral lists this ribosomal RNA (389 nucleotides) under Hebeloma hiemale. RNAcentral's name for it is "partial small subunit ribosomal RNA". Lineage: Eukaryota; Fungi; Basidiomycota; Agaricomycetes; Agaricales; Hymenogastraceae. The record is from RNAcentral.
GGAUAAAUUAAUAUAAAUAAAUUAAAUAUAUUUACACUAUUUUGUCUACUCCAUUUCUAUUUCUACUUUUGCCUUAUUACUAUCAAUCCUAUGUAGGAACACUUUUCCUUUUGUCUUUGCAAAGCAAAGGAAAAGUAGUAUGCUCCUCUCCCUCCCUAAAGGAGGGUCCUAGGGCUAAAUAUAACUGCAAAGGUGUAUAUUAAAUAUGGAAAAACAAAAAAAGUAAAAUAACUUAUUUAUAAAUAACUAUCACUCAAUCCAGUCUUAAAUAAAAAAAAAGAAAAAACAAUAUAAUAAAAAUAAAAAUAAUAAUACAAAUUACUAUUUAUAUAAAUAAAUACUUUCUCCUUAUUAUUUAAAUAGAGGGAUUGGCUAUGCAAGAACUGGUA